UGCUGCCAACUACUACUUCUAGAACCAAGCCCGGUAAUACAAAGCAUCUGGAAGCUUUUCUUCAUUCUAUGACCUGCUCAGUUCAACAGCACUGAAAAACCUGCUUCAAAAAUCUGAUGAUUAAUGGCCAGAAGUCUCACAGGAGCAAGUGGAUGAUUCAGACUGAGCAUCAGGGAAGUAUCAGAAUCUGCUAGAAACUAUAGGAUUCAUCACAAUCACCAAAUUAUUUCACCAUUAAAUCUGAACAGCAUCUGAUCAAGAAUAAAAACUAGAGAAAACCAUCCCAAAAUGCCCAACAUAUUUGAUAACAACCAUCUAACUUCAGACACCAUGAAAUAAAGUAAAAUCUUUGUCUCUAGAAUAGGGUAUGAGUUACAACAGAUGAACAAAAUAUACAUUGUUAAUGUUGUGACUUUGAGUACCCUCAUGUCUAUGGGUAGGUUUAUUUAGUGAAGCAAUUCUAUGAAGUAACUUUGCUUUCUUUAUGUAGAUCUGACUCCAGACUGAGAAGUACCUAAAAUAUAUCAUUGUAGUAGCACCUAAAUGAAAAUAGAAAUUUAAAAAAUUGGUCACUGAAGACAGAAAGCAAUUUAUCUAAAUGAUACAACAGUGACAGAUUUACGACAACUUACUUCACUAAGAUUUGGGAAUGAAAUGCCAUUAAAGAUGAAAGUCUAAUUAUUAGAAAAGAAAAACCAAAACAAUCAAG
Molecule: long non-coding RNA, 709 nt
Organism: Lontra canadensis (Northern American river otter)
Lineage: Eukaryota; Metazoa; Chordata; Mammalia; Carnivora; Mustelidae
Exons: 3
Source: RefSeq, a predicted model, not a curated record